UUUGUUUACCAGCGAUGAAUUGAAAGGUAAUUGUGUUUUAAAAGACUGGAAGCUGACUCUCUAAUCUGAACUACAAUGAGAUAAUUGUGGAAGUGACAAUGAACAAAUAACUAGGUGAUACAAAUUCAGGUUCUAGUUCUGCAAUUACUAGUUUUGGGACCUUGAAAGAAAUACAAACAUUUUUAUUGAACACCUAUUAUGUGCAGACACUGUAUUAGAUCUGGAGAACAAUGGUGAACAAGACAGUCCCUCUCUGAGGAGGUCUGGAGCCUAGUGCAAGGCCCUCUCUGGGUCUCACUCUCUUCAUUUCAAUAGCAAAUGGGUGGGACCUACUGAACUUUCUGAGGUCCUGCCAUAGGAACUAGAAUUAACUGCACUGAGCUUAUGUCAUGAAGGAAGGAUUCAUGUUCUGAGGAUUAAACAGAGCAGUGCAGAGAACAUGAGGUAAAAAAAAUCAUUGCUCCGUCAGCUCCCUUUUCCACAUAGGCUGGUCUGGGUGAUGGGUCUGUAUGCACAGCUACCCAUAAUGCUCUCUACCAAUGCAGAAUAAAUACGGGGAAAGAAGCACCAUUCACAACGGACAAAGAAAAUGGCAGAGUACGGGAAGUGGAGUUACCACCAGUGAAUUCAUUAAAAAGUGCACUGUGAAACCUCAGGUGGGGCCCCGAGGUGUGCCAAAGUUUGCUUGUAUGUGUAAAACCAAACAGAAGCCAAUAGUGGGAGGAAAGGAAGACAGUUUUCCUUGAGGAGAGAAAAUACUUGCUCUAGCACAAGAUGCAGCUACUACUCUGAAGGAAGCUGAUCUGAGAUGCAUUUUUGCUCUAGCUCCUGAAACGGUAACAUCCACACACAGAUCUGGAUCAUGAGCCUUAAAAUAAGCAUCCAUGAGAAAGACAGACAAGACGGAAAGAAAAAGCAUUGAUGAGACCGUCUAUCGGGAAGACAGGGCUAACCUAACUUUCUAAAGAGGGAGAACACGGCUUUUUAGUUCCAGACAAAAUGUUCACUCCCUCCAUUUCCACAAGGCAAAGUAAGCCACAUCCUCUCCCCAGGAAACUGUACAGCUGGCUUGUUGCAACCAUAACAAACGCAGAGAUGUGAACAAAUGGUGUCGCGUGUUUGAAAACCAAGAAGAUAUAACAGUGAAAGUAUGAAUUCGGGUUCAAAAAGCCCAUCUUUACAAACUUCCUAGGAAUUUUAACACCCACCGAUGUUCAUCCAUUCAGCAGUUAUUUACUGAGCAUCACUCUGCCCCACUCACGUCUCUCAACAUGAGGGAUAAAGCAGCGAGUGUGGCCCAGACCUUGCCUCCGCGGGCCUUACUUUUGCGUCUGGCUUGCUGGCAAAGAAUAUAAAAUGCAAUGCCAAACAGGGGUAAGUGCUAUGAAAAAAGAGAGCAAGUUUCAGGGAACAGACAAUAACUGCAGAGACGACGGUUUAUUGGAAGGUGGUCACAGAGUGUCUCCUUAAAGGGAUGACAGCUGCGUCAUCGAAGUCUCCAUGCAGUAUUAGUCAUCGGAUUCUCAUUAUGAUUUUCCACUUUAUUUUACUAUUAUUAUUAUUAUUUUUAGGGCUGCACCCGUGGCAUGUGGAAGUUCCCAGGCUAGGCGUGUUGCAUCAGAGCUGUAGCCGCCGGCCUAUGCCACAGCCACAGAGCAACGCCAGAUCCAAGCCUCGUCUGCAACCUACACCACAGCUCAUGGCAACGCCAGAUCCUUAACCCACUGAGCGAGGCCAGGGAUCGAACCUGAAACCUCAUGGUUACUACUCGGAUUCAUUUCCGCUAAGCCACAACAGGAACUCCUAUUUUUCCACUUUAUAGCUUUGUUUUCUUUACUGUAUUCUGGCUUGGCUCACUGGGAAAGACCAUGUUAUGAUGGAAGGAACACAAACACCAACUGAUCUGUUAUCAGAGCAAAGUAAUGAUCUCUCUGAGCCACAGUUUCCCCACCUAAGAAGUGGGCUGUUAGGAGGAAAAAAAGAAGAUAAAAUAGGAUGCCAAGAACAGGGAGUGAAGCAGAAUUAUCUGCUUCUCCCUUUUUUUGUUAUUCUUAUAGAUAAUUCUUGAUUUAAAAUAUGAUAUGAGAGCAAGAAGGAUUCUUGGAAAUUAUGUACUAUGGCAGCUUCAAUUGACCAAUGGAAAAAUAAAGGGCCUCAGAGAUGAAGCAAAAAAAGCCUCAUGACUCGCCAUCCGCCCACAGCAAAUUUCAACCAAGAGCUCUUUUUAUUACACUAGUAUUUUCCAAGUUUUUAUUUUUCCCUAUGAAACCUUUUCUCCAGUGAAAGCUUACCAGACAGUCCAAUAUAAGACAUAAAUAAAUAAGAGCAGGUGAGCCUUGCCAGCCCCUUGAAAAGAAAUACAGACAGAAAAUGAACACACGGCCUUAGUGAUGAUAAAGGUAAAGACACCAUGGAAGAAAACUCACAGAAGUUCCCUGAAACACUACGAAAAAUAACUGAAAUUCCUAAGCAGGUCUGAAAAGAAUUGCUAGAUCUCUUUCCUCUGCUGCUUGAAUUAAAAACAAAACACACAUUAAUUUAGGGAACUUUACUAAUCUGGACAAUUCCUCUUCUUGUGGUCAUUAUGUGCAUUGGUUUUUAUUUUCCUUUCCUUCCCUUAAUCUGGCCCUUGUCUUAUUUCAUGCACUUAUGGCUCACUUGCUUCCGGGGUCCUAGCUGUUCCCUUUCUAGCACCCAUGUCAGCUCAGCCCCCUUCCCUCUUACCUCAACUUGUUCUCAGUCAGGGAAGAUUACUACCAUAAUAGCACUCCCAUUAAGUUCUGUUAAAACGGCAAAGAAGUUUGUCAUUUACUCUUAGCAGUCAGCAUCUCUAAUCAGCAAAAAACCCAAUGUGCUCAGCUACCUGUUUCCAAUUAGGAAACUCCUAAGAAUUAAGGGUUGAGGUAGACAGCCAGCCACCCUCGGAAUGGAGAGCAGAAUAUGAAUCGAGUAUUCACUAUGUUAGGCACCACGGUGUGUAAUAAUGAUAAUAAUUUUAUUACCAUUAUCAUUAUUUUCAGGUAGAGGAGUGAAAGAGUACACAAGAUAAACCAGACAUCUUAUAGGAAAGAAGAAAACAUUAUGAGCAAUGAAAAAGAUUUCAUAGGAUAUAAAUAGAAAGGUGAACAACAUUAAAAAAAAACCAUGGAGUUCCCGUCAUGGCGCAGUGGAAACAAAUCCGACUAGGAACCAUGAGGUUGCAGGUUCAAUCCCUGGCCUCACUCAGUGGGUUAAGGAUUCGGCAUUACCGU
RNAcentral lists this long non-coding RNA (3251 nucleotides) under Sus scrofa (pig). RNAcentral describes it as "lncRNA (ENSSSCG00005006944.1)". The record is from RNAcentral. Lineage: Eukaryota; Metazoa; Chordata; Mammalia; Artiodactyla; Suidae.